Molecule: small RNA, 4870 nt
Filed under: Pan troglodytes (chimpanzee)
Lineage: Eukaryota; Metazoa; Chordata; Mammalia; Primates; Hominidae
Description: retained intron
Source: RNAcentral
AUCUCCGGGGUUUGCUGGCUCACCCUCCACCUCCCCCAGCGAGCAGAGGGGUGGCCCCGCUGGGCAACAGACCUCUCCCCAAAUCCAGGCCCCUAUUUGGCACUCCCUGGUGGAGGCGCAUCAGCAGAUGUGGACCCCUUUUCUGAGGCCAGGCUGCUGGGGUCAGAGUGAGGCAAGAGCACCUCCCCCUCCCUAGAGCCUUAGUUCAAGAGGCCAGAAGACCCAGGGAGAAGCCGGCGUUUUGGGAGAAGGGGAGCUGCAGAGCUCCCCACCCAAGCAGGUGAGGGGAAACUGAGUUCCAGGGUAGGCUCCAGAGUGAAGAGGGAAGAAACAUGAUUCUCAAGGCCCAGGUCUGGACAAGUGUGAACACCUUGGGCCUGCGAAUUCAGCCCCCUCCUUCCUUUCUCUGGUCAAAGGCUAGACUUGCAGGAGCUUGCGUUUGAAGGGACAGCCCAGAAGGCAUCGUCUGCACUCCCCAUACAGGUGUGCCCGGAGAGGCUGAGCAGCCUGCGCCUGAGCUGGUGGAGGUGGAAGUGGGCAGCACAGCCCUUCUGAAGUGCGGCCUCUCCCAGUCCCAAGGCAACCUCAGCCAUGUCGACUGGUUUUCUGUCCACAAGGAGAAGCGGACGCUCAUCUUCCGUGUGCGCCAGGGCCAGGGCCAGAGCGAACCUGGGGAGUACGAGCAGCGGCUCAGCCUCCAGGACAGAGGGGCUACUCUGGCCCUGACUCAAGUCACCCCCCAAGACGAGCGCAUCUUCUUGUGCCAGGGCAAGCGCCCUCGGUCCCAGGAGUACCGCAUCCAGCUCCGCGUCUACAAAGCUCCGGAGGAGCCAAACAUCCAGGUCAACCCCCUGGGCAUCCCUGUGAACAGUAAGGAGCCUGAGGAGGUCGCUACCUGUGUAGGGAGGAACGGGUACCCCAUUCCUCAAGUCAUCUGGUACAAGAAUGGCCGGCCUCUGAAGGAGGAGAAGAACCGUGAGUAGCCCUUUCUCCCAAAAGCCACCCUUGGGCCAGGUGUGGUAGCUCACACCUGUAAUCUCGGUGCUUUGGGAGGCCAAGGCAGGAGGAUCUCUGGAGGCCAGGAGUUCAAGACCACCUUGGACAACAUAGGGUGACCCUGUCUCUACAGAAAAUAAAAAAAUUAGCCAGGCAUGGUGGUGUGUGCCUGUGGUCCCAGAUACUUGGGAGGCUGAGGCAGGAGGAUCAUAUGAGCCCAGGAAAUGAAGGCUGCAGUGAGCUAGGAUUGCGCCACCACACUCUGGCCUGGAUGACAGAGCGAGACCCCAUCUCUUAAAAAGAGCUGUCCCUAUGGUACUACACAGGAACUGCCUUACAUUUUCUUUAAGCUUUUAACUUAGAAAAAUUAUACAAAUGGUACUUGAAAAUAUUUUCAUGAGAAUUUAAACUGACAAAAAAUCUAGAAGUUUCUUCUUGCCUGAGACCCCCCCCCUCCCAAAAAUAAUCUCUGCUAUCAGGGUGUGUUCUUUCAAGCCUAUUUCUAUGUAUUUGCUUAUAUAUAGAAAUAUUUCUAGAAUGAUAUAGGCUUCUGUUUUUUAUUAUCUAAAUCAGUCAUUCUUAACCAGGGGUGAUUUUGUACCCCCUCCUCCUAGGAGAUAUUUGGCAAUGUCUGGAGAUAUUUUUGGUUGUCACACAUGGAGUGGGUGCUACUGCCAUCUAGUAGGUAGAGAGACCAAGGAUGUUGCUAACAUCCUAUAGGGCACAGGACAGCCCCCACAAUAAAGAAUCAACGUGGCCUAAAACAUCAGUAGUGCUGGCUGGGCUCACGCCUGUAAUCCCAGCACUUUUGGAGGCCAAGGUGGGUGGAUCACCUGAGGUCGGGAGUUCAAGACCAGCCUGUCCAACAGGGAGAAACCCCAUCUCUACUGAAAAUACAAAAGUAGCCGGGCGUGGUGGCGCAUGUCUGUAAUCCCAGCUACUCAGGAGGCUGAGGCAGGAGAAUCACUUGAAGCCAGGAGGGAGGUGGAGGUUGCAGUGAGCCGAGAUUGUAACACUGCACUCCAGCCUGGGCAACAAUGAGUGAAACUCUGUCUGAAAAAAAAAAAAAAAAAAAAAUUAUCAGUAGUGCUGAGAAACCCUGGUCUAAGUGGUGGUGUAUGGUAUACAUCGUUAGACAAUUUCUUUUAUACAAUGUUUCUGGGUCAGUCUAUUUAGAUCAACUGAUCGUUUUGCUUACUGCCAAGUUUUCCAUACUAUGCAUAGCAGGUAGUCGAGUUCACCAUUCCCCAUUUAGUGGACCUCUAGACGGCUGCUCGUUUUUAUCAUUGCAGCAUUCUUUGCACAUAUCCUUGGAUAUGAGCAGACAUGAAAAUGUUUUUCUAGGGUUGACACUGAGCAGUAAAAGUGCUGGGUUGAAGGGUUUCCAGCUUGCAUUUGUACCUGGCCUUCUACAGGGGACAGGGGGCUAUUUAGAUGGUCCCCUGCCAACCCCGGUGGACAACCCUAGGGUGGGGCCGGAGGUGGGGCUGAGGCUGAGUCUUCCUCCCCUUCCUCCCUGCCCAGGGGUCCACAUUCAGUCGUCCCAGACUGUGGAGUCGAGUGGUUUGUACACCUUGCAGAGUAUUCUGAAGGCACAGCUGGUUAAAGAAGACAAAGAUGCCCAGUUUUACUGUGAGCUCAACUACCGGCUGCCCAGUGGGAACCACAUGAAGGAGUCCAGGGAAGUCACCGUCCCUGUUUUCUACCCGACAGAGAAAGUGUGGUUGGAAGUGGAGCCCGUGGGAAUGCUGAAGGAAGGGGACCGCGUGGAAAUCAGGUGUUUGGCUGAUGGCAACCCUCCACCACACUUCAGCAUCAGCAAGCAGAACCCCAGCACCAGGGAGGCAGAGGAAGAGACAACCAACGACAACGGGGUCCUGGUGCUGGAGCCUGCCCGGAAGGAACACAGUGGGCGCUAUGAAUGUCAGGGCCUGGACUUGGACACCAUGAUAUCGCUGCUGAGUGAACCACAGGAACUACUGGUGAACUAUGUGUCUGACGUCCGAGUGAGUCCCGCAGCCCCUGAGAGAGAGGAAGGCGGCAGCCUCACCCUGACCUGUGAGGCAGAGAGUAGCCAGGACCUCGAGUUCCAGUGGCUGAGAGAAGAGACAGGCCAGGUGCUGGAAAGGGGGCCUGUGCUUCAGUUGCAUGACCUGAAACGGGAGGCAGGAGGCGGCUAUCGCUGCGUGGCAUCUGUGCCCAGCAUACCCGGCCUGAACCGCACACAGCUGGUCAACGUGGCCAUUUUUGGCCCCCCUUGGAUGGCAUUCAAGGAGAGGAAGGUGCGGGUGAAAGAGAAUAUGGUGUUGAAUCUGUCUUGUGAAGCGUCAGGGCACCCCCGGCCCACCAUCUCCUGGAACGUCAACGGCACGGCAAGUGAACAAGACCAAGAUCCACAGCGAGUCCUGAGCACCCUGAAUGUCCUCGUGACCCCGGAGCUGUUGGAGACAGGUGUUGAAUGCACGGCCUCCAACGACCUGGGCAAAAACACUAGCGUCCUCUUCCUGGAGCUGGUCAAUUUAACCACCCUCACACCAGACUCCAACACAACCACUGGCCUCAGCACUUCCACUGCCAGUCCUCAUACCAGAGCCAACAGCACCUCCACAGGUAAGCCAGGCCUGGCAAGAGAACAGGGCUGUGCCAGGGCAUCCUUUCUGCCCUGUCCCUCCCCAGAGAGCCCUGUCCAGAAAGGUGAGUAGCAGCCCCAUCUUGUCGGCCCUGGACUGGCUGGGGCAACGAUGGUGACGAGGUGGCCUGGGGCAGGGAGUGACGAGGAGUGUCUUUGUGGCGCAGAGAGAAAGCUGCCGGAGCCGGAGAGCCGGGGCGUGGUCAUCGUGGCUGUGAUUGUGUGCAUCCUGGUCCUGGCGGUGCUGGGCGCUGUCCUCUAUUUCCUCUAUAAGAAGGGCAAGCUGCCGUGCAGGCGCUCAGGCAAGCAGGAGAUCACGCUGCCCCCGUCUCGUAAGAGCGAAUUUGUAGUUGAAGUUAAGUCAGAUAAGCUCCCAGAAGAGAUGGGCCUCCUGCAGGGCAGCAGCGGUGACAAGAGGGCUCCGGGAGACCAGGGAGAGAAAUACAUCGAUCUGAGGCAUUAGCCCCGAAUCACUUCAGCUCCCUUCCCUGCCUGGACCAUUCCCAGCUCCCUGCUCACUCUUCUCUCAGCCAAAGCCUCCAAAGGGACUAGAGAGAAGCCUCCUGCUCCCCUCGCCUGCACACCCCCUUUCAGAGGGCCACUGGGUUAGGACAUGAGGACCUCACUUGGCCCUGCAAGGCCCGCUUUUCAGGGACCAGUCCACCACCAUCUCCACGUUGAGUGAAGCUCAUCCCAAGCAAGGAGCCCCAGUCUCCCGAGCGGGCUGGCUUCCAUCAUCCAGGUGCACCACUGAAGUGAGGACACACCGGAGCCAGGCGCCUGCUCAUGUUGAAGUGCGUUGUUCACACCCGCUCCGGAGAGCACCCCAGCAGCAUCCAGAAGCAGCUGCAGUGUUGCUGCCACCACCCUCCUGUCUGCCUCUUCAAAGUCUCCUGUGACAUUUUUUCUUUGGUCAGAAGCCAGGAACUGGUAUAAUUCCUUAAAAGAUACGUGCCGGGGCCAGGCGCGGUGGCUCACGCCUGUAAUCCCAGCACUUUGGGAGGCCGAGGCGGGCGGAUCACAAGGUCAGGACGAGACCAUCCUGGCUAACACGGUGAAACCCCGUCUCUACUAAAAAUACAAAAAAAAAAAUUAGCUAGGCGUAGUGGUUGGCACCUAUAGUCCCAGCUACUCGGAAGGCUGAAGCAGGAGAAUGGUAUGAAUCUAGGAGGUGGAGCUUGCAGUGAGCCGAGACCGUGCCACUGCACUCCAGCCUGGGCAACACAGCGAGACUCCGUCUCGAGG